UUGGUGCUCUCAUUCUUACUGCCUCUUUUCUCCAUCUCUUGUUGUUUCGGCCGCCUCAAAACCGCCGCAACAACAGAUCAGAUCAUGGCUUUUGAUGUGAUCAUCAACAACAGCAGCAACAAAGAUAUCGCACAAUGAUUUCUUCUCCUCUCCAACACGAGUUGUAUAUUUUAGUGUCUACUUUUUCUGAGAUCUUUGCUCGUCAUUCCUCUCCUCCACUGGGUCUGCUACAAGAGGGUCAACUGGUUUUCUCUGACCCUUGGAGACAACAGUUGCAGUGAUUCAGUGAAGCAUCUUUCUUGCAAAUUUAAAAGUUAGUAAGAGAGCAAUAGUGUGAAAAUGAAGUCUACAAAUUGUAUUAUUUAGAGGAUACUCAAAUGAAGCUACGAAGUAUUAUGGUGCUUGAUUGGUAUGAAGUGAAGCCGUACGUCGAACGUCUGGAAACCCGAGAAAUCAUUCAUCUCUCCUGCCAGUUCUAAUUCUGAUUAGAAUCCGCAGGAAACGCUUGCUAGAAGAAGUUGAACAUCCCAUCUAAUGAAAUUGCCUAAAGAACAUGGUACCUUAUAGGGAGCAGAAAACAAGCAUAGGUUGAAAGUUGAGACUUUUUCGCAAAACUAAAAUGCUAUGACGAAUCAAAUUUUGUUCCUAGUGGUGAGUUUCAAAUUCAUCUGGAAUCAGAUGAAACUUUUUGAACUUGGUAGAUGGUAGAUGAUACAUAAGAUGCACAUUGGACAUGAGAUUUGACCUUGUGUUAUAUAUGUCUAUACGUGCUAAGUCAUGAAUGUUGCAAAGGAAGCUCAGGCGAUAAUUAGUUUUUUCACUAUACCUAUGAGAACGAGUGUUGACAUCUUACAGGUUGAGCAUGUACUUUUAAAAUACCAUUGUGUAUUUGAAUGUAGUCGAUCAAUUAUAAUGAAUUAGUAGUCGUCAUUAUUCUGUAAAUGAAGGACUGACACAUAGAAUCUUUUUAUUUUUCUUAGAAUGAGUUUUUGAAGUAAUUAAUCAAUUAAGUGAAAGAUAGAUUAGGUAGACUUUGUCACAUCACAUGUGCUGCUUGUAUAAUGUUUAUCUGUGGUGAUAGUUCUUGUUUCAGCGCUAUUCUCGAUGGGUAUCAUCUAGUCCUGUUUUUAUAAAGCCUGGACCUGGAGGAUUAGGGGAGGUCCACUGAGCAUGAUUAGCAUUAGCAGCAUUUGUAGGAGUAAAUGCAGAAUGAAUUUCAUGUAGAUGAUGCUAGUAAUUAUUAGAGGUAAUAUAUUGGAUAGCAGAGUUGGGGUUAGGAGCCUGGCCGUUAAAAUUACUUUAUGAGUUUCCAAAGAACCCACAUAGUGUAACUUGCAUUACAUAGGCCGGCAGGCCUACAGUCACCAGCUGUUUGUGGGAGCAAGCACUUUAGGUGUUAGAAUUUGAUAUGUGUGAUGUAGAUUCCUCAGUAAGUGUUAUAUACAUUUGAUAAAUUUUUAUAUUUUGUCAGUUUCUCUUCUUUUAUGAUUUUAAUUGUGUAAUCCUUCCCAUUUUUAUUGUUGGGAUUGACCAAAGAGAAGUUUUGAUCAUCAUGGUAUACAUGCUUUUGUUAUUGAUGAGGAAGAAUUAUGUAAGGAGGACCGAUGGGAAACGUCAAGUUCAUGAGAAAAAAGUAGCAGGUCUACUCGAGCUAUGGAAUCAGGAGAGGUCCGAGAGGACAGAUAAGCAAGCUCUUAAGAAACAGGUUAUUGAUUUGUGGUGGUGCUGGCGCUAAAGGUGGAUCCAUCAGCUGAUAAAGCAAGAUAAUCUGUAUUCAAGUUCACCCAUUAUCAUUCUAUGCAGAGGUCAUAAACUCUGUGUUGGUUAAUUUGAAAUUGGAUGUUUUGACUUGCCUACUUCCAUUGUUUUCUUCUUGUAUAUACUCCCUCCGUCCCUAAUUAGAUGACCUAUAC
Long non-coding RNA from Papaver somniferum (opium poppy), 1913 nucleotides. RefSeq lists it as uncharacterized. The transcript has 4 exons. NCBI's taxonomy places the organism in Eukaryota, Viridiplantae, Streptophyta, Magnoliopsida, Ranunculales, Papaveraceae. The record is from RefSeq and is a predicted model, not a curated record.